AGGGGCUUAGGAUAAGCCUUAGACCAAAAGCCUUCAAAGCUUUAAGCAGGAGUGAAAAUCUCCUAGCCCCUG
RNAcentral lists this transfer RNA (72 nucleotides) under Polyodon spathula (Mississippi paddlefish). Its description in RNAcentral is "tRNA-Trp". It matches the Rfam family "tRNA". Rfam says of the family: Transfer RNA (tRNA) molecules are approximately 80 nucleotides in length. The record is from RNAcentral. Lineage: Eukaryota; Metazoa; Chordata; Actinopteri; Acipenseriformes; Polyodontidae.